This 487-nucleotide ribosomal RNA is filed under the name uncultured bacterium. Its description in RNAcentral is "bacterial SSU rRNA". It matches the Rfam family "Bacterial small subunit ribosomal RNA", at positions 30 to 515 of the family's 1533-position model. The record is from RNAcentral.
AUUGAACGCUGGCGGCAUGCCUUACACAUGCAAGUCGAACGGCAGCACGGGAGCAAUCCUGGUGGCGAGUGGCGAACGGGUGAGUAAUAUAUCGGAACGUGCCCAGUCGUGGGGGAUAACGUAGCGAAAGCUACGCUAAUACCGCAUACGAUCUAUGGAUGAAAGCGGGGGAUCGCAAGACCUCGCGCGAUUGGAGCGGCCGAUAUCAGAUUAGGUAGUUGGUGGGGUAAAAGCCUACCAAGCCUUCGAUCUGUAGCUGGUCUGAGAGGACGACCAGCCACACUGGAACUGAGACACGGUCCAGACUCCUACGGGAGGCAGCAGUGGGGAAUUUUGGACAAUGGGCGAAAGCCUGAUCCAGCCAUGCCGCGUGCAGGAAGAAGGCCUUGGUUGUAACUAGCUUAGUCUAGAAAAGGGUAGACGAGGUAAUACCUCGUGCUUGAUGGUACUGGAGAAUAAGACACCGGCUAACUACGUAGCCAGCACG